This 1433-nucleotide ribosomal RNA is filed under the name metagenome. RNAcentral describes it as "bacterial LSU rRNA". It matches the Rfam family "Bacterial large subunit ribosomal RNA", at positions 1474 to 2925 of the family's 2925-position model. The record is from RNAcentral.
ACGUGUGGAGAGCACAAGCCGGAAAUGGAAAAGCCGGUGCAAGCGAGGUAGGAGUACAGUAGGCAAAUCCGCUGUACAAUCCGAAGACGUGAUGCGGACCGAAUUAAGAGUAGGGAAGUGCGUGAGCCAUGCGUCAAGAAAAGCCGCUAUUGUUUUACUUAAGCCCGUACCGUAAACCGACACAGGUGGAUGAGGAGAGAAUCCUAAGGCCGACGGGAGAAGCAUUGUUAAGGAACUCGGCAAAAUGACUCCGUAACUUCGGGAGAAGGAGUGCCAGCGAGAGCUGGCCGCAGAGAAUUGGCCCAAGCAACUGUUUAGCAAAAACACAGGUCUAUGCAAAACCGUAAGGUGAAGUAUAUGGGCUGACGCCUGCCCGGUGCUGGAAGGUUAAGAGGAGAGGUUAGCGGCAACGCGAAGCUUUGAAUUUAAGCCCCAGUAAACGGCGGCCGUAACAAUAACGGUCCUAAGGUAGCGAAAUUCCUUGUCGGGUAAGUUCCGACCCGCACGAAAGGCGUAAUGAUUUGGGCACUGUCUCAACAAUGCACCCGGUGAAAUUGAAAUACCAGUGAAGAUGCUGGUUACCUGCGCCAGGACGGAAAGACCCCAUGGAGCUUUACUCCAGCUUGAUACUGGGAUUCGGUAUUGCAUGUACAGGAUAGGUGGGAGGCUAGGAAGUGAUAACGCCAGUUGUCACGGAGCCGCUGUUGGGAUACCACCCUUGCAGUAUUGGAUUUCUAACCAGCGACCAUGAACUGGUCGGGGGACAAUGUCAGGUGGGGAGUUUGACUGGGGCGGUCGCCUCCGAAAGGGUAUCGGAGGCGCUCAAAGGUUCCCUCAGAAUGGACGGAAACCAUUCGAAGAGUGCAAAGGCAGAAGGGAGCUUGACUGCGACACCGACGGGUGGAGCAGGUACGAAAGUAGGACUUAGUGAUCCGGUGGUAUAAAGUGGGAUUGCCAUCGCUCAACGGAUAAAAGCUACCCUGGGGAUAACAGGCUUAUCACUCCCAAGAGUUCACAUCGACGGAGUGGUUUGGCACCUCGAUGUCGGCUCAUCGCAUCCUGGGGCUGAAGUAGGUCCCAAGGGUUGGGCUGUUCGCCCAUUAAAGCGGUACGCGAGCUGGGUUCAGAACGUCGUGAGACAGUUCGGUCCCUAUCCGGCGUGGGCGUAGGAUAUUUGAGAGGAGCUGUCCUUAGUACGAGAGGACCGGGAUGGACUGGCCGCUGGUGUAUCUGUUGCAUACCAAAUGCAUGGCAGAGUAGCCAAGCCGGGACGGGAUAAACGCUGAAGGCAUCUAAGCGUGAAGCCCCCCUCAAGAUGAGAUAUCCCUACGUAAGUAGUAAGACCCCUUGAAGACGACGAGGUAGAUAGGUCAGAGGUGGAAGUACAGUAAUGUAUGGAGCUGACUGAUACUAAUCGGUCGAGGGCAUGACCG